Molecule: ribosomal RNA, 389 nt
Filed under: Syndiniales sp.
Lineage: Eukaryota; Dinophyceae; Syndiniales
Description: partial small subunit ribosomal RNA
Rfam family: Eukaryotic small subunit ribosomal RNA
Source: RNAcentral
AUUCCAGCUCCAAUAGCGUAUAUUAAAGUUGUUGCGGUUAAAAAGCUCGUAGUUGGAUUUCUUCCAGGGGCAGUCGGUCCACACUAUGUGUGCGUAUCCGAUUUGACUUUGGAAUCCUCUUGGGGAACAUUUGUGCGCUUCAUUGCGUGCUAUGGUAUUCAAGACUUUUACUUUGAGGAAAUUAGAGUGUUCACGGCAGGCAAUCGCCCUGAAUACAUUAGCAUGGAAUAAUAAUAUAGGACUUUGGUUCUAUUUUGUUGGUUUCUAGAGCCAAAGUAAUGAUUAAUAGGGACACUUGGGGGCAUUCGUAUUAUCACGUCAGAGGUGGAAUUCUUGGAUUGUGUUACGACGAACUACUGCGAAAGCAUUUGCCAAGGAUGUUUUCAUCA